UUACUGGGCGUAAGCGAGUGUAGGUGGCUCAUUAAGUCACAUGUGAAAUCCCCGGGCUUAACCUGGGAACUGCAUGUGAUACUGGUGGUGCUAGAAUAUGUGAGAGGGAAGUAGAAUUCCAGGUGUAGCGGUGAAAUGCGUAGAGAUCUGGAGGAAUACCGAUGGCGAAGGCAGCUUCCUGGCAUAAUAUUGACACUGAGAUUCGAAAGCGUGGGUAGCAAACAGGAUUAGAUACCCUGGUAGUCCACGCCGUAAACGAUGUCUACUAGCCGUUGGGGUCCUUGAGACUUUAGUGGCGCAGUUAACGCGAUAAGUAGACCGCCUGGGGAGUACGGCCGCAAGGUUAAAACUCAAAUGAAUUGACGGGGGCCCGCACAAGCGGUGGAGCAUGUGGUUUAAUUCGAUGCAACGCGAAGAACCUUACCUGGUCUUGACAUAGUGAGAAUCCUGUAGAGAUGCGGGAGUGCCUUCGGGAAUUCACAUACAGGUGCUGCAUGGCUGUCGUCAGCUCGUGUCGUGAGAUGUUGGGUUAAGUCCCGCAACGAGCGCAACCCUUUUCCUUAUUUGCCAGCGGGUUAAGCCGGGAACUUUAAGGAUACUGCCAGUGACAAACUGGAGGAAGGCGGGGACGACGUCAAGUCAUCAUGGCCCUUACGACCAGGGCUACACACGUGCUACAAUGGUAGGUACAGAGGGUUGCUACACAGCGAUGUGAUGCUAAUCUCAAAAAGCCUAUCGUAGUCCGGAUUGGAGUCUGCACUCGACUCCAUGAAGUCGGAAUCGCUAGUAAUCG
Molecule: ribosomal RNA, 793 nt
Filed under: Actinomycetales bacterium
Lineage: Bacteria; Bacillati; Actinomycetota; Actinomycetes; Actinomycetales
Description: bacterial SSU rRNA
Rfam family: Bacterial small subunit ribosomal RNA
Source: RNAcentral